AGAGUUUGAUCCUGGCUCAGGAUGAACGCUAGCGACAGGCUUAACACAUGCAAGUCGAGGGGCAGCACAGGUAGCAAUACCGGGUGGCGACCGGCGCACGGGUGAGUAACGCGUAUGCAACUUGCCUAUCAGAGGGGGAUAACCCGGCGAAAGUCGGACUAAUACCGCAUGAAGCAGGGGCCCCGCAUGGGGAUAUUUGCUAAAGAUUCAUCGCUGAUAGAUAGGCAUGCGUUCCAUUAGGCAGUUGGCGGGGUAACGGCCCACCAAACCGACGAUGGAUAGGGGUUCUGAGAGGAAGGUCCCCCACAUUGGUACUGAGACACGGACCAAACUCCUACGGGAGGCAGCAGUGAGGAAUAUUGGUCAAUGGCCGAGAGGCUGAACCAGCCAAGUCGCGUGAGGGAUGAAGGUUCUAUGGAUCGUAAACCUCUUUUAUAAGGGAAUAAAGUGCGGGACGUGUCCCGUUUUGUAUGUACCUUAUGAAUAAGGAUCGGCUAACUCCGUGCCAGCAGCCGCGGUAAUACGGAGGAUCCGAGCGUUAUCCGGAUUUAUUGGGUUUAAAGGGUGCGUAGGCGGCCUUUUAAGUCAGCGGUGAAAGUCUGUGGCUCAACCAUAGAAUUGCCGUUGAAACUGGGGGGCUUGAGUAUGUUUGAGGCAGGCGGAAUGCGUGGUGUAGCGGUGAAAUGCUUAGAUAUCACGCAGAACCCCGAUUGCGAAGGCAGCCUGCCAAGCCAUGACUGACGCUGAUGCACGAAAGCGUGGGGAUCAAACAGGAUUAGAUACCCUGGUAGUCCACGCAGUAAACGAUGAUCACUAGCUGUUUGCGAUACACUGUAAGCGGCACAGCGAAAGCGUUAAGUGAUCCACCUGGGGAGUACGCCGGCAACGGUGAAACUCAAAGGAAUUGACGGGGGCCCGCACAAGCGGAGGAACAUGUGGUUUAAUUCGAUGAUACGCGAGGAACCUUACCCGGGUUUGAACGCAUUCGGACCGAGGUGGAAACACCUUUUCUAGCAAUAGCCGUUUGCGAGGUGCUGCAUGGUUGUCGUCAGCUCGUGCCGUGAGGUGUCGGCUUAAGUGCCAUAACGAGCGCAACCCUUGCCACUAGUUACUAACAGGUUAGGCUGAGGACUCUGGUGGGACUGCCAGCGUAAGCUGCGAGGAAGGCGGGGAUGACGUCAAAUCAGCACGGCCCUUACAUCCGGGGCGACACACGUGUUACAAUGGCGUGGACAAAGGGAAGCCACCUGGCGACAGGGAGCGAAUCCCCAAACCACGUCUCAGUUCGGAUCGGAGUCUGCAACCCGACUCCGUGAAGCUGGAUUCGCUAGUAAUCGCGCAUCAGCCAUGGCGCGGUGAAUACGUUCCCGGGCCUUGUACACACCGCCCGUCAAGCCAUGGGAGCCGGGGGUACCUGAAGUCCGUAACCGCGAGGAUCGGCCUAGGGUAAAACUGGUGACUGGGGCUAAGUCGUAACAAGGUAGCCGUACCGGAAGGUGCGGCUG
RNAcentral lists this ribosomal RNA (1505 nucleotides) under Parabacteroides distasonis. RNAcentral's name for it is "bacterial SSU rRNA". It matches the Rfam family "Bacterial small subunit ribosomal RNA". The record is from RNAcentral. Lineage: Bacteria; Pseudomonadati; Bacteroidota; Bacteroidia; Bacteroidales; Tannerellaceae.